CCUUAACCUGGCCUUGACAUACUAAGAACUUUCCAGAGAUGGAUUGGUGCCUUCGGGAACUUAGAUACAGGUGCUGCAUGGCUGUCGUCAGCUCGUGUCGUGAGAUGUUGGGUUAAGUCCCGCAACGAGCGCAACCCUUUUCCUUAUUUGCCAGCGGGUUAAGCCGGGAACUUUAAGGAUACUGCCAGUGACAAACUGGAGGAAGGCGGGGACGACGUCAAGUCAUCAUGGCCCUUACGGCCAGGGCUACACACGUGCUACAAUGGUCGGUACAAAGGGUUGCUACCUCGCGAGAGGAUGCUAAUCUCAAAAAGCCGAUCGUAGUCCGGAUCGCAGUCUGCAACUCGACUGCGUGAAGUCGGAAUCGCUAGUAAUCGCGGAUCAGAAUGCCGCGGUGAAUACGUUCCCGGGCCUUGUACACACCGCCCGUCACACCAUGGGAGUUUGUUGCACCAGAAGUAGGUAGUCUAACCGCAAGGAGGACGCUUACCACGGUGUGGCCGAUGACUGGGGUGAAGUCGUAACAAGGUAAGCGUAGAUGA
This 542-nucleotide ribosomal RNA is filed under the name uncultured bacterium. RNAcentral's name for it is "bacterial SSU rRNA". It matches the Rfam family "Bacterial small subunit ribosomal RNA", at positions 968 to 1509 of the family's 1533-position model. The record is from RNAcentral.